GUCGUCUGCUUCGUUUUAUUAGAAGUUUCAAAGUAUAAAAGUACAAAAUUGUGGUUGUCGAUUGUCGAGUCAACUCUGGUCGCGUAAUACACACUCCAUGCUGUUUUACAGAUUUUAGGCCUGAUCCAGCCAUUAUAAAUACAACAUCUACCAGCUUUGCUUGUGCUGGUGUUGCCCUGUCAUCUGCAACAAUCUCAGCAUCAUCGCUUGGAACAGCAUCCUGUUUGAUUGGAGAAAUUCCCCUCUCUUUAAAUAUCCUAUGUCCUUGUGUACACCCAUGUGAGUGUGGGUGUAUUCACGAGGACCCCCUUUUUUUCUUAUCCUGCUUGGCGUAUUCAACUUUUCUGCGGAUGGAGCACUUGUGGAUGCCUGGCCGGAUUUCCCAGGCUUAAAGACUCUAUAAAAAGAAGAACGAAUCCAGCCAGCGCCUAUGCAGUUAAUACGUCAUUAUAGCGCUCUGAUGGUUUCGCCUUCAUCUUUCAGACUGACAUAUUUCGGGAAACUCAAAAAAAAAAGAAAAUGAUGUGCAACACAAAAAAAAAGCUCGAACGCACGUCAGUUGCGCACAAAUAACAAUUUGGUAUUUAACUACACGACUCCUAAGUGAUAGGAAAGUUAAAAAAAGAAAAGAAAAAUUGUUGAGCUAAUGUUGACCUAAAUUGUGUGUUCACACUCCCCCUUUCCCUUUUUUUUUCCAAAUUUUUCAUUCUGUGUGCAUGGAUUACGCGGGGAAACCUUAUUAUGUUCGCUCCCCGAAUCCAGCGUGAAAUAUACGCCCUUUAUAUAUAUAGUA
This is a long non-coding RNA of Daphnia pulicaria, 793 nucleotides long. RefSeq lists it as uncharacterized. Lineage: Eukaryota; Metazoa; Arthropoda; Branchiopoda; Diplostraca; Daphniidae. The record is from RefSeq and is a predicted model, not a curated record. The transcript is spliced from 4 exons.